GAGUUUGAUCAUGGCUCAGAACGAACGCUGGCGGCAGGCUUAACGCAUGCAAGUCGAACGCCCCGCAAGGGGAGUGGCAGACGGGUGAGUAACACGUGGGAACGUGCCCAAAGGUACGGAACAACUCCGGGAAACUGGAGCUAAUACCGUAUGUGUCCGUAAGGAGAAAGAUUUAUCGCCUUUGGAUCGGCCCGCGUCGGAUUAGCUAGUUGGUGGGGUAAUGGCCUACCAAGGCGACGAUCCGUAGCUGGUUUGAGAGAACGACCAGCCACACUGGGACUGAGACACGGCCCAGACUCCUACGGGAGGCAGCAGUGGGGAAUCUUGGACAAUGGGCGCAAGCCUGAUCCAGCCAUGCCGCGUGGAUGAUGAAGGCCUUAGGGUUGUAAAAUCCUUUCGUCAGGGACGAUAAUGACGGUACCUGAAGAAGAAGCCCCGGCUAACUUCGUGCCAGCAGCCGCCGUAAU
RNAcentral lists this ribosomal RNA (467 nucleotides) under uncultured Alphaproteobacteria bacterium. RNAcentral's name for it is "bacterial SSU rRNA". It matches the Rfam family "Bacterial small subunit ribosomal RNA", at positions 9 to 524 of the family's 1533-position model. Lineage: Bacteria; Pseudomonadati; Pseudomonadota; Alphaproteobacteria. The record is from RNAcentral.